RNAcentral lists this ribosomal RNA (480 nucleotides) under Lentilactobacillus parabuchneri. Its description in RNAcentral is "bacterial SSU rRNA". It matches the Rfam family "Bacterial small subunit ribosomal RNA", at positions 49 to 485 of the family's 1533-position model. Lineage: Bacteria; Bacillati; Bacillota; Bacilli; Lactobacillales; Lactobacillaceae. The record is from RNAcentral.
UAAUACAUGCAAGUCGAACGCGUCUUGGUUAUUGAUGUUAGAUGCUUGCAUUUAACUGAUUUAACAUUGAGACGAGUGGCGAACUGGUGAGUAACACGUGGGUAACCUGCCCUUGAAGUAGGGGAUAACACUUGGAAACAGGUGCUAAUACCGUAUAACAACCAAAACCACCUGGUUUUGGUUUAAAAGAUGGCUUCGGCUAUCACUUUAGGAUGGACCCGCGGCGUAUUAGCUUGUUGGUAAGGUAACGGCCUACCAAGGCAAUGAUACGUAGCCGACCUGAGAGGGUAAUCGGCCACAUUGGGACUGAGACACGGCCCAAACUCCUACGGGAGGCAGCAGUAGGGAAUCUUCCACAAUGGACGAAAGUCUGAUGGAGCAACGCCGCGUGAGUGAUGAAGGGUUUCGGCUCGUAAAACUCUGUUGUUGGAGAAGAACAGGUGUGAGAGUAACUGUUCACAUCUUGACGGUAUCCAACCA